This 340-nucleotide ribosomal RNA is filed under the name marine bacterium SIMO-IS135. RNAcentral describes it as "bacterial SSU rRNA". It matches the Rfam family "Bacterial small subunit ribosomal RNA", at positions 45 to 415 of the family's 1533-position model. The record is from RNAcentral. Lineage: Bacteria; Pseudomonadati; Pseudomonadota; Alphaproteobacteria.
UGCCUAACCUGCAAGUCGAACGAACCCUUCGGGGUUAGUGGCGCACGGGUGCGUAACGCGUGGGAACCUGCCUUUAGGUUCGGAAUAACUCAGAGAAAUUUGAGCUAAUACCGGAUAAUGUCUUCGGACCAAAGAUUUAUCGCCUUUAGAUGGGCCCGCGUUAGAUUAGAUAGUUGGUGGGGUAAUGGCCUACCAAGUCGACGAUCUAUAGCUGGUCUGAGAGGAUGAUCAGCCACACUGGGACUGAGACACGGCCCAGACUCCUACGGGAGGCAGCAGUGGGGAAUAUUGGACAAUGGGCGAAAGCCUGAUCCAGCAAUGCCGCGUGAGUGAUGAAGGC